Molecule: non-coding RNA, 54 nt
Organism: Salmo salar (Atlantic salmon)
Lineage: Eukaryota; Metazoa; Chordata; Actinopteri; Salmoniformes; Salmonidae
Source: Rfam
AAUGCACCAAUUUGUAAGUCGCUCUGGAUAAGAGCGUUUGAUAAAUGACGUAAA